UGGAAUGGAGAAAGGAGAAAAUUGGGAAAGGAAUGGGAAAGAAUUGAUCACUUAAAUCCAUUGUAUUGGGGCGGGCUCUACUUACUGCCCAACCCUAGUAAACACUGAAAAGCAAUGCCUGGGCUGUGCUAUAUUAGGGCCUUGUGGGACAGCUCCUCCUUUAGUUAGGUGGAUGGGGGGGGUAGUUGUUGUAAUGAGAGUUUUUAGGUCUUAUUUGUUGACAUCUUUUCCCCCCAGGAAAUCUGCAGCUCAAUGGGGAGAAGAAAUAGAAUACUUCCCAACGGGAAGAAGAUGGACAUUCAGUGAAAGAGGCGAAUUCCAUUUAUUACUAAUGAAAAGACCAGAGCUAAACAAAAAAUUUGACCUCCAAAUACAGAACUCAAGAGAAGCAUAAAAAGACUAGACCCGCUGCUUGGCAGAAGGCUCUGCCAACAGGCCCUGGGGGACCUCAGCCCGAGUCGACUUCACCACAUGGCGCCCUGGUGUGGAAAAGAAAACUAAACUCAAGUACCUGACUAAAUAUCUAUCCUCCACAGAAUUGGCCCCACUACAAGCAGAAGCUUCCACCAAUGGGCCAAGGUGCUCCUCUUCCUCAUUCGACCUCAUUUCUUUAUCAUAUAUUGGGUGAAAAAAAAAAAAAAGAAAGAAAACCAAACACACUGACUCACCUCAACCCCCCCAGGAUGAAUGUGUGCCCUUCAGAGACUUGGCCCCAACACUUGGCAGAAACCCUUGCCAACAGGCCAAAAGGUCCUCUUCCCCAAUAGAACAGAAGGCAUUGUGCCAUCUGGAAAAAAGAUCCCCCCCAAGCACACUAACUCCCCUCAACAUCCAGGCUAAAUGUGGGUCCUCCAUAGACAGGACUUCUGCAGGGCUCCUGCCUGGCAGAAAGCUCCACCAAGGGGCCAGGGCUCUCCUUCCCCAGUCGAUCUCAGCACAUUUUCCCUGAAAACUUGGGAGAACGGAUGCCUCCCAUAAACCUCCAGCAUUCACCAUGGUGCCAGCAGCUGGGCCAGACUGGGUAGUCCCAACCCCUGGAAGAGGCCGGUCUCUGGGCUGACCAAUGACCUCCCCUGCCUGCCAUGAGAGGUCAAACAGGAAGCCACCCCACUCCUGUCAGCUCCCUCUUCCCUCAGGCUGUAGCACUUGCCUGCCCCAGGCUUUAGGGACUCCCGCCAAAGGCCCCAGGAAGAAGAGGCUCAGCCACCCUUACAAAGGAAAAUUGCAAACACCAGUCCAUCUUGUUCACCAGAUAGAUGAUGUGGAAAUUGAGAAUCAAGAAUUGCCAAUUGAACAUGAAGUUUCAGCCAACAUUGUUCCCCAGGUCUCUGGGUCACUGGAUGCCCAGUGUUUGCUCAGUAUCUUAAACAUUUAAAAAUUGAAUAAAAUUUAAUUUUUUUAAUGUUU
Molecule: long non-coding RNA, 1407 nt
Organism: Sarcophilus harrisii (Tasmanian devil)
Lineage: Eukaryota; Metazoa; Chordata; Mammalia; Dasyuromorphia; Dasyuridae
Exons: 3
Source: RefSeq, a predicted model, not a curated record